Long non-coding RNA from Monopterus albus (swamp eel), 821 nucleotides. RefSeq lists it as uncharacterized. Lineage: Eukaryota; Metazoa; Chordata; Actinopteri; Synbranchiformes; Synbranchidae. The record is from RefSeq and is a predicted model, not a curated record. The transcript is spliced from 3 exons.
AUGUUUGCAAAACGAUGAUUUUUGGCAGCGAUAUUGUAUAAUGACGGGGGUAACAAGCUCAGAAGCUUAUGCUGAGUAAGAUCGGCUCCGUCUCUCAGCCGGGACACUGGCGCAGCAUUUGCCUAUUCACUCCCAGGGAUGCGCAGUCGGACAGCCGCAUUUUUUUUUCAAUUAUUUAUCUCCGUCGCAAUUCACGUUUCUUUCUCUUAUGACAAAGGGUUAUUGUGCCUGUAUGUAUUUACUCAUAGUCCAGUGGCAGCAGAAGAAGCAGGGGCGGUGCGGAUAGCUCUACUCGCUGCCGGGGAGGAUUAUUUUUCUUGACCGUGCGUGCUGCUCUUCCUCUUCUCUUUGUAGCCUGUUAGUCGGGCCUGCUCCUGUCCGGCCUGUCUGCGCUCUCUGCGGUACUGUCUGUCUGUCUGUCUGUCUGGUGAGCAGGCUACUUGUCUGUCUCCCUGUCUCUUAUAAUUAAUGGCCUUCGCCUCCAGACGGUCCUCUGGGAAACAGUGACCACGGUUACCUCCACAUUGGCUCUCAGUGUGCAUGCCACAUUGGAGUGCAGGCCCGGGAACACACAGGGCUGCUUCAGUCGGACGGUGAUUGAACAUUUGCACAGGCCUUCCACGUGUGAAGCGAGCCACAAGAAAUGGGGCAUGAAGGAAGCAGGUGACAGAGAACAGCCAUAAGGAGACCCUGAUAUGGAUCAAGAAGACAUAAUCUAGAAGGGAGUAGGCCAGUGAAGUAAAGGAGCAGGGGAGAUAUGAGAUAAUAUACAAAACAAGGCUGAGCAGCACACUCAAAGCGCUUUCACACUAUUUGGCCAG